Momordica charantia (bitter melon) is the source of this 604-nucleotide long non-coding RNA. RefSeq lists it as uncharacterized. Lineage: Eukaryota; Viridiplantae; Streptophyta; Magnoliopsida; Cucurbitales; Cucurbitaceae. The record is from RefSeq and is a predicted model, not a curated record.
CGUCAAUAUCCAAAACAGUCUCCAAGAAGUCGCCAGCCGAAGAUGGACUCAGUGGGUGCGGCGGUUGUUGGUUCAGUGCGCAUUGGCUGGACACACGGUUCUGGACUCAGUGCCGAUCGAAUUCUCCAAGCGAUCUAACGAUGACGGCAGCGAGGAAGCCAAAUGGAGGCUGUACCUACAGAAAAGAGACGAUAUCAAUUCAGGGGUUUCGUUAUAAGCCCGCUUCAGAUCUUCGAUCGAAAAGGGAAGAGAUCAAUCCGAUCCCUCCGUCAUCGAUUCAUAAGACGUGUGGGAAUUAAGCGGAAACCUGAGGGAGUUACUUCUGGGUUGCCAUGUUUUCUCUGCGAAUGAGUCCAACAUCUGUGCAGCUUGUUUCUCACAUGAAUUAAAUUUUUGGUGUUGUUGAAAUCCUAAUAGGGGAAUUCUGCAAAAAAGUACUUACGGGUUGAGACCUCUGAACCAGCAGUGGUUGUAGCAUUCGACACAUAUGAACAAAGGCUCAAACCAGGAGUUUGUGCCACAUCUUUACAUACCACAAUGGUAAGAAUUUUUCUCAUCACUAUUAUAAUAAUGCCAAGAUUUUUUUACACAUUAUUUUUUUAAA